UCCGAUAUGGUCUAGUGGCUAGGAUUUGCCGCUCUCAUUGCAGAGUAACUACUUGUAGUGCCGGCAAGGCCCGGGUUCGAUUCCCGGUGUCGGAA
This 95-nucleotide transfer RNA is filed under the name Lentithecium fluviatile CBS 122367. It matches the Rfam family "tRNA". From Rfam's summary of the family: Transfer RNA (tRNA) molecules are approximately 80 nucleotides in length. Their secondary structure includes four short double-helical elements and three loops (D, anti-codon, and T loops). Further hydrogen bonds mediate the characteristic L-shaped molecular structure. tRNAs have two regions of fundamental functional importance: the anti-codon, which is responsible for specific mRNA codon recognition, and the 3' end, to which the tRNAs corresponding amino acid is attached (by aminoacyl-tRNA synthetases). tRNAs cope with the degeneracy of the genetic code in two manners: having more than one tRNA (with a specific anti-codon) for a particular amino acid; and 'wobble' base-pairing, i.e. permitting non-standard base-pairing at the 3rd anti-codon position. Lineage: Eukaryota; Fungi; Ascomycota; Dothideomycetes; Pleosporales; Lentitheciaceae. The record is from Rfam by way of RNAcentral.